Molecule: ribosomal RNA, 688 nt
Filed under: Streptomyces ambofaciens
Lineage: Bacteria; Bacillati; Actinomycetota; Actinomycetes; Kitasatosporales; Streptomycetaceae
Description: bacterial SSU rRNA
Rfam family: Bacterial small subunit ribosomal RNA
Source: RNAcentral
GGGCCGGCGUGCUUAACACAUGCAGUCGACGAUGAACCACUUCGGUGGGGAUUAGUGGCGAACGGGUGAGUAACACGUGGGCAAUCUGCCCUGCACUCUGGGACAAGCCCUGGAAACGGGGUCUAAUACCGGAUACUGAUCCGCCUGGGCAUCCAGGCGGUUCGAAAGCUCCGGCGGUGCAGGAUGAGCCCGCGGCCUAUCAGCUUGUUGGUGAGGUAGUGGCUCACCAAGGCGACGACGGGUAGCCGGCCUGAGAGGGCGACCGGCCACACUGGGACUGAGACACGGCCCAGACUCCUACGGGAGGCAGCAGUGGGGAAUAUUGCACAAUGGGCGAAAGCCUGAUGCAGCGACGCCGCGUGAGGGAUGACGGCCUUCGGGUUGUAAACCUCUUUCAGCAGGGAAGAAGCGAAAGUGACGGUACCUGCAGAAGAAGCGCCGGCUAACUACGUGCCAGCAGCCGCGGUAAUACGUAGGGCGCAAGCGUUGUCCGGAAUUAUUGGGCGUAAAGAGCUCGUAGGCGGCUUGUCACGUCGGUUGUGAAAGCCCGGGGCUUAACCCCGGGUCUGCAGUCGAUACGGGCAGGCUAGAGUUCGGUAGGGGAGAUCGGAAUUCCUGGUGUAGCGGUGAAUGCGCAGAUAUCAGGAGGAACACCGGUGGCGAAGCGGAUCUCUGGGCCGAAUACUGA